GGGCCCGUAGAGAAGCCUGGAGUUCUCGUCUCCCUGUCACGGAGAAAAUCGUGGGUUCAAAUCCCAUCGGGCCCGCCA
This 78-nucleotide transfer RNA is filed under the name Candidatus Parcubacteria bacterium. RNAcentral's name for it is "tRNA-Asp". It matches the Rfam family "tRNA". From Rfam's summary of the family: Transfer RNA (tRNA) molecules are approximately 80 nucleotides in length. Lineage: Bacteria; Candidatus Parcubacteria. The record is from RNAcentral.